This 369-nucleotide ribosomal RNA is filed under the name uncultured Psychrobacter sp. Its description in RNAcentral is "bacterial SSU rRNA". It matches the Rfam family "Bacterial small subunit ribosomal RNA", at positions 446 to 813 of the family's 1533-position model. Lineage: Bacteria; Pseudomonadati; Pseudomonadota; Gammaproteobacteria; Moraxellales; Moraxellaceae. The record is from RNAcentral.
CCUAAUGGUUAAUACCCAUUAGCGAUGACAUUAGCUGCAGAAUAAGCACCGGCUAACUCUGUGCCAGCAGCCGCGGUAAUACAGAGGGUGCAAGCGUUAAUCGGAAUUACUGGGCGUAAAGCGAGCGUAGGUGGCUUGAUAAGUCAGAUGUGAAAUCCCCGGGCUUAACCUGGGAACUGCAUCUGAUACUGUUAAGCUAGAGUAGGUGAGAGGGAAGUAGAAUUUCAGGUGUAGCGGUGAAAUGCGUAGAGAUCUGAAGGAAUACCGAUGGCGAAGGCAGCUUCCUGGCAUCAUACUGACACUGAGGCUCGAAAGCGUGGGUAGCAAACAGGAUUAGAUACCCUGGUAGUCCACGCCGUAAACGAUAUC